Neogale vison (American mink) is the source of this 844-nucleotide long non-coding RNA. RefSeq lists it as uncharacterized. The record is from RefSeq and is a predicted model, not a curated record. Lineage: Eukaryota; Metazoa; Chordata; Mammalia; Carnivora; Mustelidae. The transcript has 3 exons.
CAGAUGGGGAGAGACAGACAGAGACUGAGGGUGGGGGGAGAGAGAAAGGGAGAAAGGGAGAGAGAAAUGGGGGGUGGGUGCAAGGUCUUAAUAGAGAGAAGGAUGCUUUAGAGAGAGAAAAAAUGGAGAGAGACAGAGAGAGAGAGAACAGACAAGAGAGUAAAUAAUAAGAGAGAUUUAGGGGAGAAGGCUCUGAGUGGCAGAGGGUGGCUGAACACGGAAAGGCAGGUGCGGAAGGAAAGAGAGAGACCCACAGAGAGGUGGAGAGCGCCUGACUGGGAGAGACCCCGGGAACGAGACACAGAGAGACACUGAGGAGGCAUCAGAAGGAAGCUGGAGGAAAACAGGAGAGGGGCCAGGCUCCGAUGGAUGAAGGAGGGAGAGGGACGCAGCUGCGAACAGGCUCGGCCACGGACAUAAACUGAGCUGCUGAUAUUACAGACUCAAAGUCAUUUGCAGCCAUUGACUCGGUCUCCUGGCUUCUGUCAUUGGCCCCCGUUUCAAAGACUGAGACCAAGAGAGGGUCGAGAAGUGGCAGAGACUCAGAGCAAGAUUCUCCUGCCCUGCCCUUACAGAAGGCCACAUGCUACACACCUGAGGAUGGCAUCUGCCGGAUCUGCCAGCAAGAACACAGGAACAGCGUCUGUCAUCCCAGGGAAAUGAUCUCUAUCUCUAUCCAAGGGAGCGUGAGAGGACCUCUCCCUAAUGGAACUUCCCGAUGAGAAUGCCGCCAGCGGGCUUCUGGACUGAAGCCUUGGGAAACCACGAGCAGAAACCCCGUGCACUGUGCUGGCAUCCUGAGCCACCGAAAGUGUGAGAUUAAUAAACACGUGCUGCUUUAGGC